GGACCUGUAGCAGAGCUUGGAUAAUGCGCCUCGCUUCGGACGAGGAGAUCCUGGGUUCAAAUCCCAGCGGGUCCA
RNAcentral lists this transfer RNA (75 nucleotides) under Candidatus Aenigmarchaeota archaeon CG1_02_38_14. RNAcentral describes it as "tRNA-Arg". It matches the Rfam family "tRNA". Rfam says of the family: Transfer RNA (tRNA) molecules are approximately 80 nucleotides in length. Their secondary structure includes four short double-helical elements and three loops (D, anti-codon, and T loops). RNAcentral also lists the same sequence under 6 other names. Lineage: Archaea; Nanobdellati; Candidatus Aenigmatarchaeota. The record is from RNAcentral.